CUUAAAAGCCCUGAAAUCUGAACCCAACCCAGGCGCGAAAUCCGAGGUGCCCCGCGACCGCGCUGACCGGCGGCGAUGCCGAUCCGGCGGCCGGCCCACGGGCGGAUCGUGGCCGCCGCCGCCCGCGUUACUCCGGCGCUUGGUCGGCGUGGCUCUGGUGCUGUGUGCCAGUACUCAACAGCAAACUUAUCCAAACUUGAAUCAAGAUGAGAUGGUGCUCUUAUCUUCUUUGGAAAUUGAAGACUUUGAUGGAGAAGGCAAAGACGAACGCGAAGAGAGCAGCAAACCCAACAACGGCAGUUGCUACAUAACCUAAGUAGUCAUGCCUAAACCCAAAGUAUCGUCUGAUGUAAUCUUGCACCACUUCCCCGUCCUCCAGUGUAGAGUUUGUGAUAUCACCAUAUUGUGAGGCAACAAGUCCGUACAGUGUCCAUGCCACUGGGCAUGCCCAGGAAUACCACCUCCACCAUAUUGGUAUCCUCUGCAAACCAGCCAUGUAUAUUUCAGCAUCAACAGUAUAGAAAAAAGACUUAAAGGUUGGUAUGGACAAUGAAUGAAUAUCAGAUACUUACUGGUCGGGGGAUUAGGAAGCCGGCAAAGAUAUUCCAUAUGCAAUAGAAUGCAGUAGAGACUAUGGCAGCAAUGUCGCUGUUUGGUGUCAUGGCGACUGCCAUCAUCCCAUAGAAUGUGAAGUACAUGAAGGUGAAGAACAUGAAGAACAUGUACCAGAAGAAUUUUUCAACUGUCCAGUCAAAGCCAAUCAGGCUGUAGACGAUCAGACCAUACACGACAGUCUGGAGGAAGAUGUGUGGUAUCUCAAUAAGAACCUGUUGAAAGGAUAAAUUGUUAGAUUUUUUUCCGUAUAAUAAAGGAAGCACACUGCAAUUGUUUUUUGUUUAAAUAUGCAGCUAUGACCAUUUACCUGCGCAAAUGCAUAUGGUAGAGCGGAGUACAUUCCAGCGGCCUUUUCUCGGUAGAACACUGUUCGCUCAACGUCUACAAUUGGUUGGACAGUCUGGCCGUUUUGAAUUCCAAUGAAAAGGACUGCUGCAUACAUGGAUCCCAAAGAGUUGAACAGAUCCAAUCUCUUGUUUCUGUAGGCAAGAUAAGCACAGGUUCAAGAAUAUAGUGCCGAAAAUGAGGGCUAUAACUGUUGUGAAGAAGAUUCUAGUUGCUGUAUACGACGGAUUUCUCCAGUAUGAUUUGUGCUGCUUCCACAGGCAAGCCAUGCAUUGUGUGAAGAAGGGCUGUGAAAAUUGAGUUGGGAAGUGUAGGUCCGUUGAUCCAGGUGGAGGUGUGCUUAAUUCACUUAUCAAUGUUUUAUUCCUCCUGCAAUGGUGCAAUUGAAUCAGUGAUAUAACACAGAAAAAGCAGAAAAAGAACAUUUUGGGGGGCUUUUGUCAUGAAACAUACUGGUAUAGAUCAGAAUUCCUGUAUACUUCAGCAAAGUUGAUGCCAAGGAUAUCUUCUUGGGCUAGGGUGGUAACCUCCAACAUCCAUGUUGCAGGAUUGUAACCAUCCUUGAUUUUCCUCACUCCUUGUAUACCCUAAAUUUGGAGCAGCGAGCAAGGUUACCAUGCAUGUCUUAAGUUGGAAAUUUGGUGUUCACUUCAGUAUUUAAGUAUCGAGGCUCACCUCAAAGUAAUUGAUGAGAUGGCAUGAGUUGUGUCCCAGGGGGCCCACAUAUAUUUCUUCACCUCCUCGUUUCAUCAGAAACAGCUGCAGAAGUUCAAGAAUAGCCUGUUAGUGUUCGUAUGAGAGGCAUCCAAGAAUUGUGCAAUUUUGGCCCUUGCUUCAACUUACCUCAUCAAAAGCUUCAAAUAUGUCAAUGCUGGGCUGGUGAAUUGUGCAGACAACAGUUCUUCCUGUGUCUACUGUGUUUCUAACUGUUCUCAUCACAAUUGCAGCUGCCCUUGCAUCUAGUCCUGAAGUUGGUUCAUCCAUGAAUAUGAUGGAUGGGUUGGCAACAAGCUCAACGGCAAUAGUGAGCCUCUUCCUCUGUUCGGUGGAUAAACCAUUCACUCCUGGCAGUCCCACCAGUGCUCCCCUCAGUGAUGUCAGCUCAACAAGUUCCAUGACUUCUUCCACAAACAUCUGCAUCCGUGAAGUGAGUCAGCAUCACAAUGCAAAAUGUGUAAUGAGCUAGCAGAGUAAAGGCUGUUUGACUAACCUUUCUUGCUUCUGAGUCUACUUCAGAGGGUAACCGGAGCCAUGCUGAGUACAGAAGGGACUCGUAAACAGUGACAUGUGGAGAGUGGAUAUCAUUUUGCUCACAGUAACCAGCAAUCCGAGCAAAGGUCUCUUGCUUCUUUGGGUAUCCAGAGAUGGAGAUGUCUCCUUCAAUGUAACCGCCUGUUUUCCUUCCCGCCAGCACAUCCAUUAGAGUUGUUUUACCAGCUCCGCUAACACCCAUCAGUGCUGUAAGGACUCCUGGCCUGAAAGCUCCGCUUACACCUUUCAGCAGCAGUAGCCGAUCUUCAGUAACACCUUUAUCUUUCAUUUCCUGUCAAAAAUUGUGCAUCGGGAUUAGCAUAAUAGCAUUUGGUGGUAUAUUUGUUACACACAGGGAGGCUUCCAAUGCUUGCUUACCUGAGGCAUAUCCACAGAGUAUCUGAUAUUGUCGAAGGUGAUCGACAGAGGAGUAAAUGGAAGUACCAUUCCUCUCUUCCUGGUGUCAGCUCCUGUAAUCUCUCCUCUUCCUGCAUUUGCUAUACUUGUUAAAAGGACACAACAAAAUGGCAUAUCUUGUUCAAUGCCAUAAUACAGAGGAAUGUACUAAAAAGACUGACCAUCAGAAGGUGAAUUCUGGGAAUCUGUUCCAAGAGUCAGCAGCUCAACAUUUUCUCCGAGCUGAGAUGAUACUCACGGUCAAGCCAUUCAAGGAACAGAAUGAAGAGGAUGUUGAAGAGCAUGAUGUAUCCAAGUAAUGCGCCAACGCCAAUCCAGUACCAGUUUGCAUCGACAAAUAUGCCACGUACCUUAAGGACUUGGACACCAAGCGUGUCGUUGCUUUGUGUCGGAUCAACAACCUGCGCAAAGAUUAGGUUGCUUCUGAGUUAUCUAAAUCCAAACUUAGAUUGUCAGGUUUGAGUUGGUGCAGGAGACACUGCAUUACCUUGUUCCAGCUGUGGCCAAGGAACUCAUUAACUGCUAUGGCAUUCUGUGCAUACAUCAGAGGAGAGGACCAGUAGCCCCAAAUCCACCAUUUCUUGAUGUUUUCUGCAAAAGGAGAACUCAGUACAAUGCUCUUGUUACUACUGGAACAAUAUAUGAGUUACUUGGCAUACCUCUAGAUAUCAAGAAACCACCGAGAACCAGAAGAAUAAGCUGAGCAAAUGACCCAAACGUGUCUGCAACAACCAUCUCUCUUCCUAGUGCAGCGAGAAGCCGGAAGAGACCGGACGCCAUCUGGCUGAUCAGUACCAGCAGCACAUAAUGGCGGAAGAAUCUCUCUAUGUUUGGAUCGAAGCCCAUGACAUAGUAUGUCAUGCAAAUCCACACAGCACAUUCUAAGAAUGAUAUUGGGAUUUUGAGCACCCAUGUAGGUAAUGCAUACGCCCAUGAUGGAUAGAAAAGCAGGUCCCUCUGCUUAUAGAAUAUCGGCAGCUUUGCAAUGCUCAUGGCGAGCUCCGCAAAUCCAUUGAACAAAUGUGUGACUAAUCCAAGGAACAUAGCACCCAGGAAGAUCGCACCAUCUUCUACACUGCGUCGAUGCAUCUUUGUACGCAGGAAGACCGUCAUUCCGAUGCUUCCAAGGAUUAUGAGCUGGUACAGAUGUACCUUUCGUCAGAUUUUAUUUAUGGUCCCGAAGUAGAGAGAAAAAAUUCAAGAUGCGAGAUACAUACCUGGAGAAUUUUGAAGAUGUAAACAAAUGAAUUCCUCUUCAUCAGCAGCCACUCCCUCGAGAAGCAUGCCUUGGUAAGCUCCAUCUUGCUGAUGCCAUACCUGGAAGUUGUGAGAGCAGCAGGAUGGUUCCUGGUUCGGUCAAAGGGCACCCUGAGCUCUGAGCCCAGAUUACGCCCAACAUGGAAUUCCUUGAAGGCCUCCGAAAAGUCGUUCACCGAGAUGUACCGGUAUGGUUCAUCUCUGCGGCACCAGUACUGAUGCUGAUCCUUCCUCGAUGUAACCUGUGCAUUCAGAAUGAACACUGUCAAAUUUGAGUUCCUAGUCCAACAUGCAGGGAAGAUUACUCUGCUGGAUCACUCACUUCUUGCAAGAAGUCUGCAACACCUUUCCUCUCCGGACAUUUGAAGCCCAUUGCCUCAAAGAACUCGAGGAUGUUUUCUCGAGGUCCCUGGUAUACGAUUUGGCCCUCGGAGAGGAGAACAAUGUCAUCAAAGAGGUCAUACGUCUCAGGUGCAGGCUGAAGCAACGCGAUGAGCGCGGUUCCUCCUAAGAUGUGGACAGAUUGCCUGAGGGAGUUGACGAUCUGGUAUGUUGUGGAGCUGUCCAAACCGGUGGAGAUCUCAUCCAUGAACAGAGCCUUUGCUGGACCGACAAGCAUCUCACCUACGUAAAUUCAGUGGAUUGAGAGGUCAGAUUUUUUUCACUAUGAUCGAAGAACACUGUCAUGCCUAGUUCUUUGUUGACUGCAGAUUGCACAUACCAGUUGUGACACGUUUCUUUUGUCCUCCUGAGAUACCUCUGAUCAUAGCGUCUCCAACCAUUGUAUCAGCGCAGAUUUCCAGACCCAGAAUCUGCAAUAGCAACUUAAUUAGUUCUAGUCAUGUAUAUUUCUUCUUUUUUUCUCUAUUUUCCUGUAGUGUGUUGUACUCACUUUGAGAAUGUAAUCUGUGACCACGCUUUCCUGACCUUCCACGGAGAUGGCCUGUUUGCACAAGGGAACAACAAUUUGAGCACUUCUUGUAUACUUUUCCAAAAAAAAAAAGAAAAAAAAGGAAGGCUUGUGCUUUGAAUAAA
Long non-coding RNA from Oryza sativa Japonica Group (Japanese rice), 4920 nucleotides. RefSeq lists it as uncharacterized. NCBI's taxonomy places the organism in Eukaryota, Viridiplantae, Streptophyta, Magnoliopsida, Poales, Poaceae. The record is from RefSeq and is a predicted model, not a curated record.